UARAGUYUGAUCCUGGCUSAKAACKWRYGCUGGCGGCGUGCWUAACACAUGCAAGUCRAACGUGAUCCGGAGCUUGCUCCGGUGAAAGUGGCGCACGGGUGAGUAACGCGUGGAUAACCUGCCCUGGUAUCUGGGAUAACAUCUCGAAAGGGGUGCUAAUACCGGAUAAGCCCACGGUCUCUUCGGAGAGUGCGGGAAAAGGGGGCCUCUGUAUAUGCUCCUGUCGCUAGAUGAGUCCGCGGCCCAUUAGCUAGUUGGUAGGGUAAUGGCCUACCAAGGCUACGAUGGGUAGCUGGUCUGARAGGAUGAUCASCCMCACUGGAACUGARACACGGUCCARACUCCUACGGGAGGCAGCAGUGGGGAAUUUUGCGCAAUGGGCGAAAGCCUGACGCAGCAA
RNAcentral lists this ribosomal RNA (400 nucleotides) under uncultured Geobacteraceae bacterium. Its description in RNAcentral is "partial 16S ribosomal RNA". It matches the Rfam family "Bacterial small subunit ribosomal RNA", at positions 1 to 394 of the family's 1533-position model. The record is from RNAcentral. Lineage: Bacteria; Pseudomonadati; Thermodesulfobacteriota; Desulfuromonadia; Geobacterales; Geobacteraceae.